This 495-nucleotide ribosomal RNA is filed under the name uncultured bacterium. RNAcentral describes it as "bacterial SSU rRNA". It matches the Rfam family "Bacterial small subunit ribosomal RNA", at positions 8 to 518 of the family's 1533-position model. The record is from RNAcentral.
AGGGUUCGAUUCUGGCUCAGGAUGAACGCUGGCGGCGUGCUUAACACAUGCAAGUCGAACGAGAAAGCAACUUCGGUUGUGAGUAGAGUGGCGAACGGGUGAGUAACACGUGAGCAACCUGCCCUUCACUUCGGGAUAACUCAGGGAAACUUGUGCUAAUACCGAAUACUCCGAUUAGAUCGCAUGGUCUUUUUCGGGAAAGCUUUUACGGUGAAGGAUGGGCUCGCGGCCCAUUAGGUAGUUGGUAGGGUAACGGCCUACCAAGCCGACGAUGGGUAGCCGGGUUGAGAGACCGACCGGCCACAUUGGGACUGAGACACGGCCCAGACUCCUACGGGAGGCAGCAGUGGGGAAUUUUGCGCAAUGGGCGAAAAAGCCUGACGCAGCAACGCCGCGUGCGGGAUGAAGGCCUUCGGGUUGUAAACCGCUUUCAGUAGGGAAGAAAUUGACGGUACCUACAGAAGAAGCUCCGGCUAACUACGUGCCAGCCGCUGC